Molecule: long non-coding RNA, 381 nt
Filed under: Lathyrus oleraceus (garden pea)
Lineage: Eukaryota; Viridiplantae; Streptophyta; Magnoliopsida; Fabales; Fabaceae
Description: Pisum sativum (pea) long non-coding RNA (PSAT_LNC029426)
Source: RNAcentral
AACGAAAUUGCCGAUGCAAAAGAGACAUUCACUGUACACUAUUCACACAUCUCAACUUCGUUCCAUUUGUUUCUCAUUUGAAACCUUCACAACUCUUAUUUCACAACUCAAUUUUUGUUUUUCACUAUUUUUCUUCCAAGCAAGCAUUCAUUUUCAUUUUCUCUAUAUUUUUUUUUCUUUUCUUUUCACAUCGUAUUCACAAAACAGAUGUUUCUCUUUUCUAAUUUUUUUUCAAUGCUUGCUCGGUUUUUCAAGAGUUGUGGCACUUACCGAUUCUCAUCUUCGUUCUCCCCAACUUAUUUCUUACUCACCCUAAGUGAAUGCUCUUGACUUUUUACGGCAAAAGAACAAUUACCAAAAUUUUCCGGGUUUCAAGAAAAA